Long non-coding RNA from Triticum dicoccoides, 400 nucleotides. RefSeq lists it as uncharacterized. NCBI's taxonomy places the organism in Eukaryota, Viridiplantae, Streptophyta, Magnoliopsida, Poales, Poaceae. The transcript is spliced from 4 exons. The record is from RefSeq and is a predicted model, not a curated record.
GGUGGGAGCGGUGGUGGGCAUGGCUUGGGGACCGGCGCUUGCGUCAACCGACGGCGAGCUCGGCUGCUGCCAACCAGCCAAGGUCUUGGAUUCGUAAAGUGAUACAUCCCUGGAUCAAUUUAAGCUCUUGCAAUCUCCAAUCAGUUAAGAUGAGUCACAUGGCGACGCUCGAGAAGGUGAUGUCUGGCAGGGAUCAACACACUCUUUGCCACCCAGUACGGCCUGCCCAUGGUUGAUGGCAAGGGCAGGUGCAUUGGGUUGUCUCCAAGAAGCACAAGGCCAGGGCAUCCAAUUGGGUAACCCGGUGCAACUGCUGUUCCCCAAUGAGUUCUUUGUCAUAGAAUGACCUUUUGGUAGCAGUACUGAAUAAUAAAAAAAUUGUUGCUGUUUGCGCGUCUCC